RNAcentral lists this ribosomal RNA (253 nucleotides) under uncultured bacterium. RNAcentral's name for it is "partial 16S ribosomal RNA". It matches the Rfam family "Bacterial small subunit ribosomal RNA", at positions 524 to 776 of the family's 1533-position model. The record is from RNAcentral.
UACGUAGGGGGCAAGCGUUGUCCGGAAUCAUUGGGCGUAAAGAGCGUGUAGGCGGCCCGGUCAGUCCGCCGUGAAAGUCCAGGGCUCAACCCUGGAAUGCCGGUGGAUACUGCCGGGCUGGAGUCCGGAAGAGGCGAGUGGAAUUCCUGGUGUAGCGGUGAAAUGCGCAGAUAUCAGGAGGAACACCCGUGGCGAAAGCGGCUCUCUGGGACGGUACUGACGCUGAGACGCGAAAGCGUGGGGAGCAAACAGG